RNAcentral lists this small RNA (613 nucleotides) under Spisula solidissima (Atlantic surf clam). Its description in RNAcentral is "cnRNA217". The record is from RNAcentral. Lineage: Eukaryota; Metazoa; Mollusca; Bivalvia; Venerida; Mactridae.
GCUUGGUAGGUAGGUCCGUAGGUCGCUUGGAAGGUAGGUCGGUAGGUAGGUAGGUCAGUUGGUAGGUACGUUGGUCGCUUGGUAGGUAGGUCGCUUGGUAGGUAGGUUGGUAGGUACGUAGGCCGGUAGGUAGGUACGUAUGUCGAUUGGUAGGUCGGUAGGUUGCUUGGUAGGUAGGUACGUAGGUCGGUAGGUAGGUACGUAGGUCGCUUGGUAGGUCGAUACGUAGGUCGCUUGGUAGGUCGGUAGGUCACUUGGUAAGUAGGUCGGUACGUCGCUUGGAAGGUACGUAGGUCGGUAGGUAGGUACAUAGGUCGCUUGGUAGGUAGGUACAUAGGUUGCUUGGUUAAGGUAGGUCGGUAGGUACAGUAGUUCAGUAGAUCGCUUGGUAGGUACGUAGGUCUGUAAGUAGGUACGUCAGUCGCUUGGAAGGUAGGUCGGUCGCUUGGUAGGUCGGUAGGUAGGUACUUAAGUCGCUUGGUAGGUAGGUCAGUAGGUACAUAGGUCACUUGGAAGGUAGGUCGGCAGGUAUGCAGGUCGCUUGGUAGGUAUGAAGGUCGCUCGGUUGGUAUGUAGGUCAGUAGGUAGGUACAAAACAACCUAUGUACCCACU